AGUGAACGCUGGCGGUAGGCCUAACACAUGCAAGUCGAACGGCAGCACAGGAGAGCUUGCUCUCUGGGUGGCGAGUGGCGGACGGGUGAGGAAUACAUCGGAAUCUACUUUUUCGUGGGGGAUAACGUAGGGAAACUUACGCUAAUACCGCAUACGACCUACGGGUGAAAGCAGGGGACCUUCGGGCCUUGCGCGAUUGAAUGAGCCGAUGUCGGAUUAGCUAGUUGGCGGGGUAAAGGCCCACCAAGGCGACGAUCCGUAGCUGGUCUGCGAGGAUGAUCAGCCACACUGGAACUGAGACACGGUCCAGACUCCUACGGGGGGCAGCAGUGAGUAAUAUUAGCCAAUGGGCGCAAGCCUGAUCCAGGCAUACCGCGUGGGUGAAGAAGGCGUUCGGGUUGUAAAGCCCUUUUGUUGGGAAAGAAAUCCAGCUGGCUAACACCCGGUUGGGAUGACGGUACCCAAAGAAUAAGCACCGGCUAACUUCGUGCCAGCCGCCGCAGUAA
This 506-nucleotide ribosomal RNA is filed under the name uncultured bacterium. Its description in RNAcentral is "partial 16S ribosomal RNA". It matches the Rfam family "Bacterial small subunit ribosomal RNA", at positions 29 to 523 of the family's 1533-position model. The record is from RNAcentral.